CCUACGGGAGGCAGCAGUGGGGAAUAUUGGACAAUGGGCGAAAGCCUGAUCCAGCAAUACCGCGUGUGUGAAGAAGGCCUUCGGGUUGUAAAGCACUUUAAGCAGGGAAGAAAAAAUUCAAGCUAACAUCUUGAGUCUUGACGGUACCUGAAGAAUAAGCACCGGCUAACUCUGUGCCAGCAGCCGCGGUAAUACAGAGGGUGCAAGCGUUAAUCGGAUUUACUGGGCGUAAAGCGUGUGUAGGUGGUUGGGAAAGUCAAUUGUGAAAGCCCCGGGCUCAACUCGGGAACUGCUUUUGAUACUGUCUGACUAGAAUUCGGUAGAGGGAGGCGGAACUCCAGGUGUAGCGGUGAAAUGCGUAGAUAUCUGGAAGAACACCAAUGGCGAAGGCAACCUCCUGGGCCUGAAUUGACACUGAGACACGAAAGCGUGGGGAUCAAACAGGAUUAGAUACCCUGGUAGUCCACGCCGUAAACGAUGACAACUUGACGUCGGUUUGCUCUGCGAAUCGGUGUCGUAGCUAACGCGAUAAGUUGUCCGCCUGGGGGAGGACGGCCGGCGAGUAGUUAACGUUACGUAAAGAAGUUAGUAGGCGNGNGAGNGCGAGGACGACACGAGGGAGGAGG
RNAcentral lists this ribosomal RNA (626 nucleotides) under uncultured bacterium. RNAcentral describes it as "bacterial SSU rRNA". The stretch from base 1 to 542 matches the Rfam family "Bacterial small subunit ribosomal RNA", at positions 338 to 873 of the family's 1533-position model. The record is from RNAcentral.